RNAcentral lists this ribosomal RNA (207 nucleotides) under uncultured Comamonadaceae bacterium. RNAcentral describes it as "partial 16S ribosomal RNA". It matches the Rfam family "Bacterial small subunit ribosomal RNA", at positions 568 to 774 of the family's 1533-position model. RNAcentral also lists the same sequence under 1 other name. Lineage: Bacteria; Pseudomonadati; Pseudomonadota; Betaproteobacteria; Burkholderiales; Comamonadaceae. The record is from RNAcentral.
UGCGCAGGCGGCUUUGCAAGACAGAUGUGAAAUCCCCGGGCUCAACCUGGGAACUGCAUUUGUGACUGCAAGGCUAGAGUACGGCAGAGGGGGAUGGAAUUCCGCGUGUAGCAGUGAAAUGCGUAGAUAUGCGGAGGAACACCAAUGGCGAAGGCAAUCCCCUGGGCCUGUACUGACGCUCAUGCACGAAAGCGUGGGGAGCAAACA